CAGUCGCCGCGGUAAUACGAGGGGUGCAAGCGUUAUUCGGAUUGAUUGGGUGUAAAGGGUGUGCAGACGGCUUAUUAAGUCACUUGUUAAAUUCUUCGGCCUAACUGAAGGUCUGCAAGUGAUACUGAUGAGCUAGAGGGUGGAAGAGAGAAGUGGAAUUCUCGGAGUAGCGGUAAAAUGCGUAGAUCUCGAGAGGAACACCAGUGGCGAAGGCGACUUUCUGGACGAAAACUGACGCUGAGGCGCGAAAGCCAGGGGAGCGAACGGGAUUAGAUACCCCUGUAGUCCCUGUCUCUUAUAC
This 301-nucleotide ribosomal RNA is filed under the name uncultured bacterium. Its description in RNAcentral is "partial 16S ribosomal RNA". It matches the Rfam family "Bacterial small subunit ribosomal RNA", at positions 509 to 807 of the family's 1533-position model. The record is from RNAcentral.